AAGACCGCACUCUAAAGGAUCAUUUCUUUAGUCUGCAUCCCGUCUUUGUUGCUCAACAAAGACAAGUCUCCCAUGCAGGUUGAUGAGCUAUAACCUCGUUGCUUGAGCGCGAAGUGGAGGCGUGUUCUAAUGCAAGGCUGUCAAAAGCCAUGCAGCCGCCUCGUUAAUGAACGCCUUCUCGACGUUUGCCUGUGCUGUCUCGUUGCUCAUGCAACCGAGCUCACGUUGUGCGCGCCGAGGAGAGGCAAUGGGGUAGUCUUACUGCAG
RNAcentral lists this small nucleolar RNA (267 nucleotides) under Capsaspora owczarzaki ATCC 30864. Its description in RNAcentral is "ACEA small nucleolar RNA U3". It matches the Rfam family "Small nucleolar RNA U3". From Rfam's summary of the family: Small nucleolar RNAs (snoRNAs) are involved in the processing and modification of rRNA in the nucleolus. There are two main classes of snoRNAs: the box C/D class, and the box H/ACA class. The record is from Rfam by way of RNAcentral. Lineage: Eukaryota; Filasterea; Ministeriida; Capsasporidae.